UACGUAGGGUGCGAGCGUUAAUCGGAAUUACUGGGCGUAAAGCGUGCGCAGGCGGUUUUGUAAGCCAGAUGUGAAAGCCCCGGGCUUAACCUGGGAAUGGCAUUUGGGACUGCAAGGCUGGAGUUUGGCAGAGGAGACUGGAAUUCCUGGUGUAGCAGUGAAAUGCGUAGAUAUCAGGAGGAAUACCGAUGGCGAAGGCAGGUCUCUGGGCUAUAACUGACGCUCAUGCACGAAAGCGUGGGGAGCAAACAGGAUUAGAGUACCC
Molecule: ribosomal RNA, 265 nt
Filed under: uncultured bacterium
Lineage: Bacteria
Description: partial 16S ribosomal RNA
Rfam family: Bacterial small subunit ribosomal RNA
Source: RNAcentral